Molecule: small RNA, 50 nt
Filed under: Arabidopsis thaliana (thale cress)
Lineage: Eukaryota; Viridiplantae; Streptophyta; Magnoliopsida; Brassicales; Brassicaceae
Description: ATSL124810
Source: RNAcentral
UUUUUUCUCUACUCUCGUUUUCAACUCAAAAAAAAAGAAGGAAAAAAAAA